Molecule: non-coding RNA, 26 nt
Filed under: Cricetulus griseus (Chinese hamster)
Lineage: Eukaryota; Metazoa; Chordata; Mammalia; Rodentia; Cricetidae
Source: RNAcentral
UAUUUGGGAUGUGUCAAUGACGUGAA